This 841-nucleotide long non-coding RNA is filed under the name Homo sapiens (human). Its description in RNAcentral is "non-protein coding lnc-KIAA1257-6:1". Lineage: Eukaryota; Metazoa; Chordata; Mammalia; Primates; Hominidae. The record is from RNAcentral.
AAAAGAUACAAAACUAUGGGAUCCUUGACACCAUCCGCCAGGGAACUGGCCCGGCAUAGGCUAACUGGGACCCAAAUUGUCCUCCAAAUCAUCCCUAAGAAGGCUGGCCUUGCUCUCUAGAGAGAGAGAUGAGUAUCAUGAAGACUCUCUAUCACCCAAAUAUCAUUCAGUUCCACCAGGUGACUGACAAGGUGGAAACCAUGUAUGUGGUGAUGGAGUACGCCAGAGGAGGAGAGCUACAGCACCAGAUAUGCCACCAAGGCCACAUCGAGGAAGAGGAGGCCUGAACCAUGUUCAGGCAGAUUCUGUCAGCCCUGCACUACUGCCACUUGAAGAACAUCACACAUCCACACACAAAACAUGCUACUCAAUGAGGAACGCAAUAUAAAAAUCAUGGACUUUGGCUUUAGCAUGACAUUCGGGGAGGCAUAGAUGCUGAAAACAUUUUGUGGCGCGCACCCCUACGUGGCCACGGAACUCUUCCUGGGCCAGGAGUGCCAGCGCCACCAUGAUUGUAUGGAGCCUCCGUGCCACACUGUAUUCCAUGGUGGCCGGGGCCCUGCCCUUCUACUCAGGGAACCCUACAGGCCUCAAGAAAAAAUGAUCAGUGCAGAAUACCGUUCACCACAAUUUUUUUCCCCAACGAAUGGAAAGACUUAUUAAAAAGUGACUAAUGCUGGACCCCAAGGAGUGUCCUUCACUGGAACAAGUGAUGAAAAAUCCAUAGGUGAAAAGUGUCCAGAGGUUGCCAGUCACACCACACCAAGAGCCACUCCUGGACCACCCGAACCCCAAACAACCCAACUUGUGGUGGCCAUGGGAUUCCAGGCCAAGAACAUCU